RNAcentral lists this ribosomal RNA (262 nucleotides) under uncultured archaeon. Its description in RNAcentral is "partial 16S ribosomal RNA". It matches the Rfam family "Archaeal small subunit ribosomal RNA", at positions 748 to 1009 of the family's 1478-position model. The record is from RNAcentral.
CAGCCGUAAACAAUGUGCGUUAGGUGUGUCGGUAACCACGUGUUACUGAUGCGCCGAAGAGAAAUCGUGAAACGCACCACCUGGGAAGUACGGUCGCAAGGCUGAAACUUAAAGGAAUUGGGCGGGGGAGCACCACAACGCGUGGAGCCUGCGGUUUAAUUGGAUUCAACGCCGGACAUCUCACCGGGACCGACAGCAACAUGAAGGCCAAGCUGAAGACUUUGCCGGAUUAGCUGAGAGGUGGUGCAUGGCGUAGUCGUGU